RNAcentral lists this ribosomal RNA (252 nucleotides) under uncultured Lactobacillus sp. Its description in RNAcentral is "partial 16S ribosomal RNA". It matches the Rfam family "Bacterial small subunit ribosomal RNA", at positions 111 to 355 of the family's 1533-position model. The record is from RNAcentral. Lineage: Bacteria; Bacillati; Bacillota; Bacilli; Lactobacillales; Lactobacillaceae.
UAACACGUGGGGAACCUGCCCCAUAGUCUGGGAUACCACUUGGAAACAGGUGCUAAUACCGGAUAAGAAAGCGGAUCGCGUGAUCAGCUUUUAAAAGGCGGCGUAAGCUGUCGCUAUGGGAUGGCCCCGCGGUGCAUUAGCUAGUUGGUAAGGUAAAGGCUUACCAAGGCGAUGAUGCAUAGCCGAGUUGAGAGACUGAUCGGCCACAUUGGGACUGAGACACGGUCCAAACUCCUACGGGAGGCAGCAGCC